GACGAACGCUGGCGGCGUGCUUAACACAUGCAAGUCGUACGGUAAGGCCCUUUCGGGGGUACACGAGUGGCGAACGGGUGAGUAACACGUGAGUAACCUGCCCACAACUUUGGGAUAACGCUAGGAAACUGGUGCUAAUACUGGAUAUGUGCUCCUGCUGCAUGGUGGGGGUUGGAAAGCUCCGGCGGUUGUGGAUGGACUCGCGGCCUAUCAGCUUGUUGGUGGGGUAGUGGCCUACCAAGGCGGCGACGGGUAGCCGGCCUGAGAGGGUGACCGGCCACAUUGGGACUGAGAUACGGCCCAGACGCCUACGGGAGGCAGCAGUGGGGAAUAUUGCACAAUGGGCGCAAGCCUGAUGCAGCAACGCCGCGUGCGGGAUGACGGCCUUCGGGUUGUAAACCGCUUUCAGCAGGGACGAAGCUUUUUGUGACGGUACCUGCAGAAGAAGCACCGGCUAACUACGUG
Molecule: ribosomal RNA, 465 nt
Filed under: uncultured bacterium
Lineage: Bacteria
Description: partial 16S ribosomal RNA
Rfam family: Bacterial small subunit ribosomal RNA
Source: RNAcentral